RNAcentral lists this transfer RNA (65 nucleotides) under Lophosquilla costata. RNAcentral describes it as "tRNA-Cys". The record is from RNAcentral. Lineage: Eukaryota; Metazoa; Arthropoda; Malacostraca; Stomatopoda; Squillidae.
GGCUCUGUAGUUUUAAUUAAAAAUAUCAGACUGCAAUUCUGAAGAUGUAUCCUGUGCUGGGGCCU